Long non-coding RNA from Homo sapiens (human), 1107 nucleotides. RefSeq annotates it as DLGAP1 antisense RNA 6. NCBI's taxonomy places the organism in Eukaryota, Metazoa, Chordata, Mammalia, Primates, Hominidae. The transcript has 3 exons. The record is from RefSeq and is marked validated.
GAAAAUAUGUAGACCUAACAUCUAUCUCCCUGCUCCAGUUUCAAGAGAAAAGACCUUAUUCAGAGAAAUAUUUAGAAGACUCUUGUGGAAUUCUUGCUGUGAGUGGUUUUUCCUUCCCUGCCAUUGGUGCGACUGUUUCCCCCUUCCGUCAAAUUGCUGUCUAGAUGUUUCUCUCUGACCCCAAUUUUCUCGGAGUUUGGGAUUAUCAAUCUAAAAUCAGAGGCAGGGAGGAACUUGGAUUGUCCUUCAGUAAAAUUCCACUUUGAUGCGCAAAGCGAACUUGAAUUUCUGCUUGGCCUACCACAGGCCUGCAACAUGCACUUUCUCCUCGAGGGAACUGCCACUCACUGACACGGACAACAGUAAAGGAACUUGGUCUUCACUAUGCCUCAUAGUGGUGGGUCACACUGCCCAGGAGGAACCCGCAAUGAGACCGGCAAAUGCCUUAACCAUCUCAUUGUCUCAUCAGGAAGAAGCUUAAAUGACUCUUCUUGCUCACAUACUUCCUGGGCAAACAUGUCUGCUCUGUUGGGAUAAAGGACGCUCUAGACCAGGCUCUGCUGAAAGAUCCAGGGCAAAGGUUCCUGACAAGACUAUGUCCAGCCUCAAAUAAGGCCACAGAAGAGCCCAGGCUCGCUGACGAGCACCGGCUCCGAGGCAGUCACAUCAGGAGACAGAAACAGACAUGUUGGUGCUGCCCUCUCAGGUCAGUGCAAAUGCCACUUGAGGAGGGCUGAGAGCUUUGCAGCAUAAAAUGACCAGAACAAGGAGAAACACAGAUGCAAUGGCAAUAGCUGGCAAUUCGCACAUGGCGUCAAACACCACUGCCACAGAAGCUUUUUAGCUACAAGCCACGCUAUGCAACCUUUAAGCAAAACAUUAUUGAUUUUGUGGUUGUAAAAACAUACCUUCAACUGCAGAACUCAGUUUUAUGACACCUUGAAUAAAAACAAAAAGUGGCAGUUAUAUAAUGGACCCAAAUCGCCUUUUCCAGGCUUCUCAUAACACACGCAUGCUUCAGAUUUGGAUUUUUCUUUUUCUGCUGGCAUUGCAAGAACGUAACUAAACAAAUAUCAACUUCAAAAAUAAAAUAAUUUUUAGUCUUAA